RNAcentral lists this ribosomal RNA (283 nucleotides) under Escherichia coli. RNAcentral describes it as "partial 23S ribosomal RNA". It matches the Rfam family "Bacterial large subunit ribosomal RNA", at positions 159 to 479 of the family's 2925-position model. The record is from RNAcentral. Lineage: Bacteria; Pseudomonadati; Pseudomonadota; Gammaproteobacteria; Enterobacterales; Enterobacteriaceae.
UGAAUCCAUAGGUUAAUGAGGCGAACCGGGGGAACUGAAACAUCUAAGUACCCCGAGGAAAAGAAAUCAACCGAGAUUCCCCCAGUAGCGGCGAGCGAACGGGGAGCAGCCCAGAGUCUGAAUCAGUAUGUGUGUUAGUGGAAGCGUCUGGAAAGACGCGCGAUACAGGGUGACAGCCCCGUACACAAAAAUGCACAUAUUGUGAGCUCGAUGAGUAGGGCGGGACACGUGGUAUCCUGUCUGAAUAUGGGGGGACCAUCCUCCAAGGCUAAAUACUCCUGAC